UUGUUUUGGCAACACAUAUAUUAAAUUGGGAUGAUAACAGAGAAGAUUAGCAUGGCCCCUGUGCAAGUAUGACAUGCAAAUUCAUGAAGUGUUCCAUAUUUAA
This is a small nuclear RNA of Marmota monax (woodchuck), 103 nucleotides long. Lineage: Eukaryota; Metazoa; Chordata; Mammalia; Rodentia; Sciuridae. The record is from RefSeq and is a predicted model, not a curated record.